GGGGGGUAGAAUUCCAGGUGUAGCGGUGAAAUGCGUAGAGAUCUGGAGGAAUACCGGUGGCGAAGGCGGCCCCCUGGACAAAGACUGACGCUCAGGUGCGAAAGCGUGGGGAGCAAACAGGAUUAGAUACCCUGGUAGUCCACGCCGUAAACGAUGUCGAUUUGGAGGUUGUGCCCUUGAGGCGUGGCUUCCGGAGCUAACGCGUUAAAUCGACCGCCUGGGGAGUACGGCCGCAAGGUUAAAACUCAAAUGAAUUGACGGGGGCCCGCACAAGCGGUGGAGCAUGUGGUUUAAUUCGAUGCAACGCGAAGAACCUUACCUGGUCUUGACAUCCACAGAACUUUCCAGAGAUGGAUUGGUGCCUUCGGGAACUGUGAGACAGGUGCUGCAUGGCUGUCGUCAGCUCGUGUUGUGAAAUGUUGGGUUAAGUCCCGCAACGAGCGCAACCCUUAUCCUUUGUUGCCAGCGGUUAGGCCGGGAACUCAAAGGAGACUGCCAGUGAUAAACUGGAGGAAGGUGGGGAUGACGUCAAGUCAUCAUGGCCCUUACGACCAGGGCUACACACGUGCUACAAUGGCAUAUACAAAGAGAAGCGACCUCGCGAGAGCAAGCGGACCUCAUAAAGUAUGUCGUAGUCCGGAUUGGAGUCUGCAACUCGACUCCAUGAAGUCGGAAUCGCUAGUAAUCGUAGAUCAGAAUGCUACGGUGAAUACGUUCCCGGGCCUUGUACACACCGCCCGUCACACCAUGGGAGUGGGUUGCAAAAGAAGUAGGUAGCUUAACCUUCGGGAGGGCGCUUACCACUUUGUGAUUCAUGACUGGGGUGAAGUCGUAACAAGGUAACCGUAGGGGAACCUGCGGUUGGAUCACCUCCUU
Molecule: ribosomal RNA, 876 nt
Filed under: Klebsiella pneumoniae
Lineage: Bacteria; Pseudomonadati; Pseudomonadota; Gammaproteobacteria; Enterobacterales; Enterobacteriaceae
Description: bacterial SSU rRNA
Rfam family: Bacterial small subunit ribosomal RNA
Source: RNAcentral